RNAcentral lists this long non-coding RNA (336 nucleotides) under Salvia miltiorrhiza (redroot sage). RNAcentral's name for it is "long non-coding RNA (SMIL_LNC001767)". Lineage: Eukaryota; Viridiplantae; Streptophyta; Magnoliopsida; Lamiales; Lamiaceae. The record is from RNAcentral.
CAGAACCAUCUGCGAAAAUCUGUGCAGCUAAUCUCCAGAUUGAAAACAUCUUUCCAUCCCCAAACUCUUGUCUUGAUUUCUGCCACCAUCUUCUCCACAUUCCAAACUCCCUUAUUGAAUUUACAUUCAUUUCUUCCUUUCCACAAGCACCAAACAGCACACAACCAAAUGCAAGAAAGAAAAGCACGAUCUUUUUUCCUUCCCAUAUUUGAAAACGCAAGCAGAUGAUCUUUUGCUUUAGAUUGAAGUGCUGUCGAAAAACCAGUCCAGGAAAGAAGAGCGUACCAGACUUCUACCGAUCCGCUGCAGGAGAAAAGGAGAUGUUCCGAGGUUUCC